Aethalodelphis obliquidens (Pacific white-sided dolphin) is the source of this 601-nucleotide long non-coding RNA. RefSeq lists it as uncharacterized. The record is from RefSeq and is a predicted model, not a curated record. The transcript has 3 exons. NCBI's taxonomy places the organism in Eukaryota, Metazoa, Chordata, Mammalia, Artiodactyla, Delphinidae.
GAGGGGCGCUUCCGAUCUCUCCCUCCUCCCUCGCCCGCUCGUCGCUGUGCGUGCCUACGUACGUGCGUACGCCCUAUGGGGAACUGCAGGGGCGCUCCGUGACGACACCACGUCAACGCUGACGCUCCGACGUCCGUUCCGAUAAAUAUGCAAAUAUACGGCGAAACCCCCUUCCCAAGCCUGCCCUGCUCCCUGCUCCACCAGCCCGUCUGCUGAUCGCCCUUCAUUUGAUCCUGCUCCCUCCUCCUCAGCCCUGACCUGGAGAAUGCUGUUUACCUUGAAACUCUGAAACGCUCUGUCCUGCUCGCUCUCUCCCCUAUAGGACCGGGGGCUUCCCAAAGGCAAAAGGGACCACUCAGCAUUCGUUAAUCUACUGGUCCCCUCCUCUAGGAGGCACUUUCUGACCCCCAGACCGGGUCUGAUGCCUUCUUGGGUUCCCCCAGCGCCUGGGCUCCCCGUCUGAGCCCUGCCCACUCUGGGUCAUCACUAUCCAGGGACAGAUCUGUCUCCCCCAGUGGAGUGGGAGCCAUGAGGGCAGGGCCAGCACUGUCAUUUGUCACCGCUGGGUCACUAGCACCACCCAGCGCAGGGCUAGGCACAG